GACGAACGCUGGCGGCGUGCUUAACACAUGCAAGUCGAACGGAAAGGCCCUGCUUUUGUGGGGUGCUCGAGUGGCGAACGGGUGAGUAACACGUGAGUAACCUGCCCUUGACUUUGGGAUAACUUCAGGAAACUGGGGCUAAUACCGGAUAGGAGCUCCUGCUGCAUGGUGGGGGUUGGAACGUUUCGGCGGUUGGGGAUGGACUCGCGGCUUAUCAGCUUGUUGGUGGGGUAGUGGCUUACCAAGGCUUUGACGGGUAGCCGGCCUGAGAGGGUGACCGGCCACAUUGGGACUGAGAUACGGCCCAGACUCCUACGGGAGGCAGCAGUGGGGAAUAUUGCACAAUGGGCGGAAGCCGGAUGCAGCAACGCCGCGUGCGGGAUGACGGCCUUCGGGUUGUAAAACGCUUUCGCCUGUGACGAAGCGUGAGUGACGGUAAUGGGUAAAGAAGCACCGGCUAACUACGUG
Molecule: ribosomal RNA, 468 nt
Filed under: uncultured bacterium
Lineage: Bacteria
Description: partial 16S ribosomal RNA
Rfam family: Bacterial small subunit ribosomal RNA
Source: RNAcentral